This is a long non-coding RNA of Xenia sp. Carnegie-2017, 222 nucleotides long. RefSeq lists it as uncharacterized. The record is from RefSeq and is a predicted model, not a curated record. NCBI's taxonomy places the organism in Eukaryota, Metazoa, Cnidaria, Anthozoa, Malacalcyonacea, Xeniidae. The transcript is spliced from 4 exons.
AAAAGAAAAGUCAAGAUGUGAAUAAGUUUGCUGGUGUUUACUCCAUGAGAACAGUCAUGGGAAAAAACACAAACCCUUUUCAUACUCAUGGUGGAACAAUUAAUCCAACAAAGAAGUUACUUAGCAAGAUUCAACGAGAUGAAACUAAAGUUUCAAAAAGACCUUUACUUGUCGAGUUGCACACAUUUCCUGGCUUCAACAAAACAAAAUUAACACCUUUGC